Small nucleolar RNA from Argentina anserina (silverweed cinquefoil), 101 nucleotides. RefSeq annotates it as small nucleolar RNA snoR113. The record is from RefSeq and is a predicted model, not a curated record. Lineage: Eukaryota; Viridiplantae; Streptophyta; Magnoliopsida; Rosales; Rosaceae. The transcript has a single exon.
UGGCCGUGAUGAAACAAAGGCCGGACUCACGGCUGCCGGCGAUUUUGGCCGGUAGUAGAUUGAUGAGACUCUUGACGUGAAGGUGUUGUUUGCUGAGCUGA